This is a long non-coding RNA of Siniperca chuatsi (mandarin fish), 1278 nucleotides long. RefSeq lists it as uncharacterized. The record is from RefSeq and is a predicted model, not a curated record. NCBI's taxonomy places the organism in Eukaryota, Metazoa, Chordata, Actinopteri, Centrarchiformes, Sinipercidae. The transcript has 2 exons.
AGGUUUAGCCUCCGGCCUGAAGGAAAAAGUGCGAAUCAAAGCUUCCAGCGUCCUGACCUAAAAGUUCUUGCUGGCUACAACCACAGUGAGUCGGACGUAGCAAACAUGACGUUAUCAAGAAGGUAGCCAAGGCAGUUGUUGACUUAGUCUAAUUCCUUUACCCAAACCAGGGACACAAGUCAAACUGGGGCCCUAUGCUUUGGCAUCCCAUACUGGCUAUCAGAGCCAGACGACAGCAAAAGGUGGGCGUGUCCCAAGUGCUCAGAAUAAUAUAUUUGGCAUGAAGAACGUUGCACAGUGUGGCUUAUCCUGGAGCUGAUUGUGCAAAGAGAUGCUCCAGAGUUUGUCUAAGAGGCUCCCAGUUGUCCUGGGAUGUGUCAUGGGAGGGGAUGAGUAGGUUUUGGGGGCCCGAGGUUUAGCCUCCGGCCUGAAGGAAAAAGUGCGAAUCAAAGCUUCCAGCGUCCUGACCUAAAAGUUCUUGCUGGCUACAACCACAGUGAGUCGGACGUAGCAAACAUGACGUUAUCAAGAAGGUAGCCAAGGCAGUUGUUGACUUAGUCUAAUUCCUUUACCCAAACCAGGGACACAAGUCAAACUGGGGCCCUAUGCUUUGGCAUCCCAUACUGGCUAUCAGAGCCAGACGACAGCAAAAGGUGGGCGUGUCCCAAGUGCUCAGAAUAAUAUAUUUGGCAUGAAGAACGUUGCACAGUGUGGCUUAUCCUGGAGCUGAUUGUGCAAAGAGAUGCUCCAGAGUUUGUCUAAGAGGCUCCCAGUUGUCCUGGGAUGUGUCAUGGGAGGGGAUGAGUAGGUUUUGGGGGCCCGAGGUUUAGCCUCCGGCCUGAAAGAAAAAUUGGGCACCGCCUCCUACAGUGUCAGGGCAUUUUUGGCCAUGCCCUUUAUGUGAACAUCAUAAACGUGCAGACAGAAUUGGAAGGCAGUAUAUAGCAAUUGCAAGUAUUGUGAGGUCAACAUUUGUGAUGCUUCGGGGUGUUGCCUACUAGGGAUUGCAGCCCUCUAGCCUGCACUGCUGCAAAGGGGUUCUUUGGCCAGUAGGGGAUUAAAAGUUAGGCAGCAAGGUGGGGUUUGUGUGCUUGCUCCGGCAGCACAUACGAUAAAUUGGAAUCGAUACAGAGAAGAUUAGCAUGGCCCCUGCGAAAGGAUGACACGCAAAUUCGUGAAGCGUUUCCACAUUUUGAUGUGCCGGUUUUGCCUCGGGGAAAUGCGGGUGAUGCGUGUCCUUCAUAAGUGGCUGGAAUUCCCGGCGUUCAUGUGGCUUUU